RNAcentral lists this small RNA (33 nucleotides) under Arabidopsis thaliana (thale cress). RNAcentral's name for it is "ATSL104280". The record is from RNAcentral. Lineage: Eukaryota; Viridiplantae; Streptophyta; Magnoliopsida; Brassicales; Brassicaceae.
GGAAGAGGAAGAAGAAGAAGAAGAAAGGAAGCA